UGGGGAGUAUUGCACAAUGGCGCAAGCCUGAUGCAGCCAUGCCGCGUGUAUAAAGAAGGCCAAUUCGGGGCUUUGGUUAAAGAUACUUUUCAGCGAGGAGGAAGGUGCUGUGGUUAAUAACCGCAGCAAUUGACGUUACUCGCAGAAGAAGCACCGGCUAACUCCGUGCCAGCAGCCGCGGUAAUACGGAGGGUGCAAGCGUUAAUCGGAAUUACUGGGCGUAAAGCGCACGCAGGCGGUCUGUCAAGUCGGAUGUGAAAUCCCCGGGCUCAACCUGGGAACUGCAUCCGAAACUGGCAGGCUAGAGUCUUGUAGA
RNAcentral lists this ribosomal RNA (316 nucleotides) under uncultured Enterobacteriaceae bacterium. Its description in RNAcentral is "bacterial SSU rRNA". It matches the Rfam family "Bacterial small subunit ribosomal RNA", at positions 355 to 655 of the family's 1533-position model. The record is from RNAcentral. Lineage: Bacteria; Pseudomonadati; Pseudomonadota; Gammaproteobacteria; Enterobacterales; Enterobacteriaceae.